UAUUGAGGCAUAAUAUUUGGUCCUGCGAAGUUGGUUUUGGAUUUUCACGAUUUAAUAAAUUCUGCUAAUGCAAUUUCUGCCUUGUCAUUACAGGAACAUUCUAAUGGGUUCGGAUUGUCAACUGCCAUAUCAGAAUGACUGGCAUGGGGCAAUGCAACUUCCUUGAGAUUGCAUCAUUGGAGCAGAUUCUAACGGUCGAAUUGGAGCAGUAGUCCGCCGAGGCCUUGCAUACGCUAGAGUCCAGAAUAAGCCACUCUAACCCAUUUCUUCUAUAUUCACUUGUAAACUAUUUCUCGUCCACCUGUUCCUGAUGAGAUAUUCUUGACAGGUGAAGGGCGUGAGAGCAAAGGACAGUCGGAAGCGAUAUGGAUGCGGAAGCUGUGCAGGCACGGAGAAUGCUCGACUUGCAGGCAAGUUCUGCAAGCUCUCACGGCUUUACUAUGAGGAAGCUGGUCCAAUCUUCCGUACUCCUCGAGGCGUUGCUACUUUUGGGGAGGGCAUUCCGACUAUAUCGCGCCAUACUAUUGUUUCCGCUUUCCGUUAAUAAUGUAAGUAUAUCUGACACAUCCCUUGCUUAAAAGACUUCCAUUUUCUUUUAAUUCCUUCGGAUAAGUGACUGACUAUUUCUCGUCAUGCUUUGAAUGGUGACUCGACCGGAAAUUGGCCGCCAUUCAAGAUAGGGCUGUCAACGGUUGGAUCCGGGUCCGGUCUUGGUAGAAACACUCCCGAGUAGAUCAUUAAUUGGGACAAAACCCUAGACCCAAAACUUUCCAUUUUAACUUAAAAUUUAGGUUGAAACAUAAACAUAGGUUUAAAACCGAACCAUUUAAGCUAAAAGACACCACUUUUCUUAUUUAAAUCUCAAAUUAAAAUUUAAACUUUAGUCAUAUAUCGUUAAUAAAAUUGAUAGAAAAAUACUAAGUUACUUAUAUGUUAAAACGUCAGGAACCUUUAUUUAUCUAUCUAUGUAUCAGAUUCGACACUUUAAACCUAUGAUAAGAGAGAAACCGUAAGAAAACGAAGGAAAUAAUAUAUAUGGUUAACAAAAUAGUCGGUUUUGGGCAUGAAUCGAUUCGGGAGGGGCGAGUACCGGAACCGGCCCAAUUAUUUAUUUCAACAUAAGCAUGGAGCCGGAUCCUUUAUAAAUGGUUGGGUCGAUUCGGGCCAGCCGGGUAGRCCUGAACCGUUGACAGCACCUUCAAGAACAUGAACAAUGGUAGCGAUUGUGUUGCAGCAAGCUUGGUAUCGCUUUUCCUUCUCUCUUCGGACCUGUACUUCGAGAACAUUCUAAUGGGUUCGGAUUGUCAACUGCCGUAUCAGAAUGACUGCCAUGGGAUAAACCACCAUUGGCAUUGCCACUUGCAUGAGAUUGCGUCAUUGGAGCAGAUUCAAACGGUCGAAUUGGAGCAGUAGUCCGCCGAGGCCUUGCAUACGCUGSAGUCCAGAAUAAGCCACUCUAACCCAUUUUUUUCUAUAUUCACUUGUAAACUAUUUCUCGUCCACCUGUUCCUGAUUAGAUAUUCUUGACAGGUGAAGGGCGUGAGCGCAAAGGAGACUCGGAAGCGAUACGGAUGCGGAAGCUGUACAGGGAGCUAUUGUAAGUGGAAACCAUGCAGAUAUUGUUGUAUGGGAACCUGAUGCUGAAUUUGAACUCAAUGAGAACCAUGCUAGAUACCAUAAGCAUCUUGCAUGUUUUUUUUCUUACAUGUGCUUUUCUUGUUACUAAGGGAAAAAUGAUCAAGUUGAUGCUUGCCAGCUUGAUUAAACAACUUCACUUUUUACAUGAUGCCUGGAUUUCACAAAAUGAAAAACAAGUGUUCCCUCUAGUUUAUUUUUUCAUUGUUUACUAUCAUUAAUUAAGCCCAAAAUAUGUAGCAAAUGGAUCAUAUAUUUCUCAUGCUCUGUUUUGAUUCUUCCAUCACAGUUUCUGGUCUUAAUGAUCUGUGUCCCACAGGUUACUGGAAAUGCUUAAGAUUGUGGCCUUCAGUUAUACCAUGGUCCAAUAUGUCUUAGGAUUGAAAAGUUAACCAAAGAAUUCUAGCAUUUCUUACUUGAUUGUGUUUUCCUCUGUGCACAGAAUAUCUCGGCCUACAUGGGAAUGAAACUAUCUGGGAAUGUUUUGGCAACUUUUGUGAGAGGGAACCUUGUCUACAGUGAGGGGAGACAUCCUCUCGCUGCUUGUGGUGUUACGAUCCUUGCAAAUUAAAGGGAUAAGUUGAUGGUAUGCCAUAGAGCCAUUAUUUAAAGUUCGGUUAGACUUGGUUGGAUUAGAAAACAUCAUUCCUAUAGGAUUUGGACACCAUACUUGGAAUCCACCUCAACUUCAUCAACUUCCUUAACAUAAUUGUUAUUUCAACAUUUUCCGGUUGAGGUAGGGCUUCCUGUAUCCUGAUUGUAGCCAAUGAAAGUACCUCCCUUUUAUUGAUUUUUGUGCAGAAAUUUCUAAGAACUAUUCAUAGGCAACAAGCCAACCCAGAAACCUCUCCUAAAAUCCUUAAAAUUCUGGCUCUAUGACCUAUAAUGAUCAGACUUAUUAGUUUCCCAUGCAUGCUGCUUAUCCUAGUUGUGCAUGGGUAUCAAACAUAGAGAAGAGAGAAUGGCCAAGAUGGAUCUCUUGCCCUCCAAUAAAAAUCAAAUACACCUUUUUGAUUUUUCCUUGAUUUUUGAGGGUAGGCCUUGGCACAAUGGUUGGGUUUGCUCCAUUGCCACCUGGGUGAUCGGCGUUCAAAUCUUGGAAACAGUCUUUCUGUGCAGGGGAAAGGCUGCGUUCUUUUGUCCUUCCCCAGACCUGCAUUGGUGAGAGCCUUGAGCACAGGGAUACCCUUUUUAAACCAAUUCAGAAAUCUUUCUUAAAAUCCUUAAAAAAUCAUUACAACUAGGAUAAAAUAUGAUUGCACCACAAGAUGUCACUAUUACUAUAGAGAACUAAAUG
Molecule: non-coding RNA, 2932 nt
Organism: Nelumbo nucifera (sacred lotus)
Lineage: Eukaryota; Viridiplantae; Streptophyta; Magnoliopsida; Proteales; Nelumbonaceae
Source: RefSeq, a predicted model, not a curated record